Molecule: long non-coding RNA, 392 nt
Filed under: Androctonus crassicauda
Lineage: Eukaryota; Metazoa; Arthropoda; Arachnida; Scorpiones; Buthidae
Source: RNAcentral
AUCUACUUUAGUUAAAUAUAAUAAGCAUUUAUCAAUUACUAGCAAAUGGCUUAAAACAUUCUUAAUUAAUAAUUAUGAAAAAUAAAUAUAUUUUUCACCCAAAUAUGAAUCCUAGUUAAGAUUUUUAAUUGAUUGUCAAGUUUUCAUGUCAUGUCGUAUCGAGCUGCGCAGCAUCGCCUAUCUGAUUAUGGUAUGUAUGCAGGUUGGAGUCGGCAAUGCGAUGCAUGCGAUCACUUUGGGGCAAGAUAAAAUUUUACCUGGUAUUGUAUUAAAUGAUUAUUGUAAAAUUUUCUUUCUGAUCUUCAGGAGACGUUCAGUAAAUUAUGGUUACUCUUAUUACUUCAAUUUCUCCAUUCAAAAAAAGUAGAUUUUUUUUUGACUCAUGUAUAAGC